GUGUCAGCCGCCGCGGUAAGACGGAGGAGGCAAGCGUUAUCCGGAAUUAUUGGGCGUAAAGCGUCCGUAGGUGGCUGCUCAAGUCUGCCGUCAAAGCACAGGGCUUAACUCUGUUAAGGCGGUGGAAACUGAGGAGCUAGAGAGAGGUAGGGGUAGAGGGAAUUCCCAGUGUAGCGGUGAAAUGCGUAGAGAUUGGGAAGAACACCGGUGGCGAAAGCGCUCUACUGGACCUCAUCUGACACUGAGGGACGAAAGCUAGGGGAGCGAAUGGGAUUAGAUACCCGCGUAGUCC
Molecule: ribosomal RNA, 292 nt
Filed under: uncultured bacterium
Lineage: Bacteria
Description: partial 16S ribosomal RNA
Rfam family: Bacterial small subunit ribosomal RNA
Source: RNAcentral